CCUGACUGCUUCUAAUUUUAUAGCAAGGCAAUGACUCCACACAGCACAAAGUUUGAGAACAAGUCAUACAAUAUAAUGUCCUUAGAAAGGUCUCGGUCACUCUGUUAUGGUCCUCCCAACCCUCUAUUUUCAAUAGAAGCAGCAAAAGUGGGGUACUGCCCUAAAUCUUGGCCAGAGCUGUUUACGAUAAUAACUCUGAAGAGUGAUAGCUGGUUCCGCAGCGCUGGCGAUUUCUGUGGCCGCCUAUAUCGAUCGGGGGGUCCUAAUGAGCAGCAGCGGAGCUGUGGCUAAUGGUGUUGUGUCUGGUGUCCGUGGUAAACGCCCACGUUGAGAUUAUCAUUCCCAGGGGGGACUGAGAAAGGUUUUGCCAGCCCAAGCCCUCGGGGUGUGAGCGACACACUUCAGGGGUCAAGGAUCUGUCGCUGGGGGAUUCGACUGAAGUGUGAAGAGGGGUGUAUGCAGGAGACAUGCUGAGAAUUCUAAAUAGUCCCCCAGCCAGCUCCCCGGGCCCCCGAAGAGGAACCAGCGGCAUGAUGUCACACACCUGUUUGGCUGGAGGCUGCGGCCCGGCGAUGCUUGCAGCCGUGGGUGUCGCGCUGGCACCCCUCGGCCUCCCCCAACCCCACCUCACCCCACCCUUGUCGCUGCCUGCUACGCCCCGUGGAUGUGUCAAAAUGGCAGAUGAUGGUUGGGGUGUGUGCAGCUGCUUGGGAAGAGGAGUGCCAAGGGCGCUCAUUUCCUGCGGUCAGUGCAAAGCCAAGAUAUUCCUGAGGACUGAUUAGGCUCAUGCUUGUACUUUCAAAAUGCUGAUUAUUGCAGGGACCCGACAGGCCUUGUGUUUUUCUCCAAGCAUUCUGGGGAUGUGAGUCCGAAAGUAGCCCCAUGGUGCCGUGACCCCUGACCU
RNAcentral lists this long non-coding RNA (904 nucleotides) under Oreochromis niloticus (Nile tilapia). RNAcentral's name for it is "lncRNA (ENSONIG00000026759.2)". The record is from RNAcentral. Lineage: Eukaryota; Metazoa; Chordata; Actinopteri; Cichliformes; Cichlidae.